GGGCCUUAGCUCAGUUGGUAGAGCGCCGCCUUUGCAAGGCGGAUGUCAGGAGUUCGAAUCUUAUCUCUAGCUGACAGGUCCG
RNAcentral lists this transfer RNA (82 nucleotides) under Tsukamurella pseudospumae. RNAcentral's name for it is "tRNA-Ala". The stretch from base 7 to 64 matches the Rfam family "tRNA", at positions 8 to 63 of the family's 71-position model. From Rfam's summary of the family: Transfer RNA (tRNA) molecules are approximately 80 nucleotides in length. Their secondary structure includes four short double-helical elements and three loops (D, anti-codon, and T loops). Lineage: Bacteria; Bacillati; Actinomycetota; Actinomycetes; Mycobacteriales; Tsukamurellaceae. The record is from RNAcentral.